This 421-nucleotide unclassified non-coding RNA is filed under the name uncultured Sebacina. RNAcentral's name for it is "sequence contains ITS2". The stretch from base 1 to 154 matches the Rfam family "5.8S ribosomal RNA". The record is from RNAcentral. Lineage: Eukaryota; Fungi; Basidiomycota; Agaricomycetes; Sebacinales; Sebacinaceae.
AACUUUUAGCAAUGGAUCACUUGGCUAUCGCAUCGAUGAAGAACGCAGCGAAAUGCGAGAAGUAUUGUGAAUUGCAGGAUUCAGUGAAUCAUCUAAUCUUUGAACGCACCUUGCACCCUUUGGUAUUCCGAAGGGUAUGCUCGUUUGAGUGUCAUUGUACUCUCACACUCUCUGAUCCUUUGGAUUCAGGGAGCAGUGGACUUGGGUGUUUGCUGCUUUCCUUGUGGCUCACCUCAAAUGCGUCAGUGCACCUCUUGGUUGGACAUAGUACGGCGUGAUAAGUAUCUUCGCCGGCACCUCGCAAGAGGGUGGUCAAUUGGGAGCUCUGUGCUUUCAAACCGUCUUCGGACAAUCUCUGACAACUUGACCUCAAAUCGAGUAGGACUACCCGCUGAACUUAAGCAUAUCAAUAAGCGGAGGC